Molecule: ribosomal RNA, 521 nt
Filed under: uncultured Glomeraceae
Lineage: Eukaryota; Fungi; Glomeromycota; Glomeromycetes; Glomerales; Glomeraceae
Description: SSU rRNA
Rfam family: Eukaryotic small subunit ribosomal RNA
Source: RNAcentral
AGCAGCCGCGGUAAUUCCAGCUCCAAUAGCGUAUAUUAAAGUUGUUGCAGUUAAAAAGCUCGUAGUUGAAUUUCGGGACCAAUUUGUUGGUCGUGCCUCGGUACGUACUGGUAUUAUUGGUUUCUCCCUUCUGAAGAACCAUGAUGCCAUUAAUUUGGUGUCGUGGGGAAUCAGGACUGUUACUUUGAAAAAAUUAGAGUGUUUAAAGCAGGCAUACGCUUGAAUACAUUAGCAUGGAAUAAUGAAAUAGGACGUUUGAUUCUAUUUUGUUGGUUUCUAGGAUCGACGUAAUGAUUAAUAGGGAUAGUUGGGGGCAUUAGUAUUCAAUUGUCAGAGGUGAAAUUCUUGGAUUUAUUGAAGACUAACUACUGCGAAAGCAUUUGCCAAGGAUGUUUUCAUUAAUCAAGAACGAAAGUUAGGGGAUCGAAGACGAUCAGAUACCGUCGUAGUCUUAACCAUAAACUAUGCCGACUAGGGAUCGGAUGAUGUUAAUUUUUUAAUGACUCAUUCGGCGCCUUACG